CCUACGGUAGGCAGCAGUGGGGAAUAUUGCACAAUGGGGGAAACCCUGAUGCAGCGACGCCGCGUGAGUGAAGAAGUAUCUCGGUACGUAAAGCUCUAUCAGCAGGGACGAUAAUGACGGUACCUGACCAAGAAGCCCCGGCUAACUACGUGCCAGCAGCCGCGGUCAUACGUAGGAUCCGAGCAUUAUCCGGAGUUACUGGGUGUAAAGAGUUGCGUAGGUGGCAUAAUAAGUAGCUAGUGAAAUCUGGUGGCUCAACCAUUCAGACUAUUAGCUAAACUGUUAAGCUCGAGACCGUUAGGGGUAACUGGAAGUUCUAGUGUAGGAGUGAAAGCCGUAGAUAUUAGAAGGAACACCAAUAGCGUAGGCAGGUUGCUGGGACGGUUCUGACACUAAGGCACGAAAGCGUAGGGAGCAAACGGGAUUAGAUACCCGAGUAGUC
Molecule: ribosomal RNA, 442 nt
Filed under: uncultured bacterium
Lineage: Bacteria
Description: partial 16S ribosomal RNA
Rfam family: Bacterial small subunit ribosomal RNA
Source: RNAcentral